RNAcentral lists this ribosomal RNA (721 nucleotides) under uncultured organism. RNAcentral's name for it is "bacterial SSU rRNA". It matches the Rfam family "Archaeal small subunit ribosomal RNA", at positions 265 to 987 of the family's 1478-position model. The record is from RNAcentral.
CGGAGAGGGAGCAUGAGACCGUUAGCCCGGAGAUGGGCACUGAGACAAGGGCCCAGGCCCUACGGGGCGCAGCAGUUGCGAAACCUCCGCAAUGCGCGAAAGCGUGACGGGGUUACCCCGAGUGCCGUCCGCUGAGGAUGGCUUUUCUCCGGUGUAAUGAGCCGGAGGAAUAAGGGGAGGGCAAGACUGGUGUCAGCCGCCGCGGUAAUACCAGCUCCCCGAGUGGUGGGGAUGAUUAUUGGGCUUAAGCGUCCGUAGCCGGCCUGACAAGUCUUCCGUUAAAUCCAGUGACCUAAUCGCUGGGCCGCGGGAGAUACUGCCCGGCUAGGGGGCGGGAGAGGCCGACGGUAUUCUCGGGGUAGGGGUGAAAUCCUAUAAUCCUGAGAGGACCACCAGUGGCGAAGGCGGUCGGCUAGAACGCGCUCGACGGUGAUGGACGAAAGCUGGGGGAGCGAACCGGAUUAGAUACCCGGGUAGUCCCAGCUGUAAACGAUGCGGGCUAGGUGUUGGAGCGGAUACGAGCCGCUUCAGUGCCGCAGGGAAACUGUUAAGCCCGCCGCCUGGGAAGUACGGUCGCAAGGCUGAAACUUAAAGGAAUUGGCGGGGGAGCACUACAAGGCGUGAAGCUUGCGGUUUAAUUGGAGUCAACGCCGGGAACCUUACCGGAGGAGACAGCAGGAUGAAGGCCAGAUUGAAGGUCUUGCUAGACAAGCUUGAGAGG